This 369-nucleotide long non-coding RNA is filed under the name Mytilus galloprovincialis (Mediterranean mussel). The record is from RNAcentral. Lineage: Eukaryota; Metazoa; Mollusca; Bivalvia; Mytilida; Mytilidae.
GACAUUGGAUUAAAGGCACCCCAUAUCUCACAGCUGUAUAAUAGGAUGGGUUUGAUGGUAUGAUCAAAAACAUGCAUGCUUGUUUUGACUGAAGGAUGCAAGGAUAAAAAAUCUUUAGAUAACUUAAAAUAGGCUUUUAGUGCCUUUUUAUACAAUUCAUCCUGGGCUACUGUAAAGGAGCCAGAUGCACAAAAAUGUAUACCCAAAUAUUUAUAUGAAUUAACACACUCUAGUUUUAUACCAUUUAGCAUAAAAUCAUAUUUGUUAAUCAAUCUACCUGCCUUGUUGAAUAUAAGAACCUUUGUUUUGUUUGUAUUCACACUUAAGCACCAAUCAUUGCAGUAAUUUUGCAAAAUGUCCAAUUUUUUU